Urocitellus parryii (Arctic ground squirrel) is the source of this 1019-nucleotide non-coding RNA. Lineage: Eukaryota; Metazoa; Chordata; Mammalia; Rodentia; Sciuridae. The record is from RefSeq and is a predicted model, not a curated record.
UCAUGGGCUUCCAGAAGUUCUUCCCAAUCCUGGCUCUCAGCAUUUUGGUCCUGUACCMGGCAGGCAGCCUCCAUGCAGUGCCAUUCAGUUCCACCUUGGAGAGCAGCCCAGACCUGACCACACUCAGUGAAGAGGAAGCACGCCUCCUGCUGGCUGCACUGGUGCAGGACUAUUUGCAGAUGAAGGCCAGUGAGCUGCAGCGAGAGCAGGAGACAGAGGACUCCAGCCUGGACAGCCCCAGAUCUAAGCGGUGUGGUAAUCUGAGUACCUGCAUGCUGGGCACGUACACGCAGGACCUCAACAAGUUUCACACAUUCCCCCAAACUGCAAUUGGGGUUGGAGCACCUGGCAAGAAAAGGGAUAUGACCAGCGACUUGGAGACAGAGCACCGUCCUCAUUGUCACUGCCCAGAAGAGAGCCUGCAACACUGCCACCUGUGUGAGCCAGCGGCUGGCAGGAUUGCUGAGCAGAUCAGGGGGUGUGGUAAAGGACAACUUUGUGCCCACUGAUGUGGGUUCCAAAGCCUUUGGCCGGCGCCGCAGAGACCUUCAGGACUGAACAGUUUUGAAUGGACCCAGGAAGAAGGUCACAAUGAAGCUAAACUCCACUUCUUUUAAUGUGUAAUGAAAGCAAUGUAUAAAAAAGUUGCCAUGGAAGAUAUACAUAUUUGCAUCCUUCUUGAUAUGGAAAACUACCUUCUUCAUUUGAAAGAAACUAAAGCUGAGUGCAGAAUAAGCUCAUUGCAAUUAUCUAUUGUACAUCAUUUUUAUAUUUGAUUCUGUAUCUAAUAAACAUGACAGCAUGUCUCAUUGGCUUAUCUGAUGGCAAAUCUGGUCCUCAUCAGCCAUUCUGUUGAUGUGGAAGCUCUGCUAAACCUCAGGGGGACAUAAAAUCACUGCCUCUUGGGCAUUUGGGGACACCUGGUAAUGUUAUGCCUUGAUGGAACUAUUUGUUUAAAGAAAUGUCAGUGUUGUCGUGAACUUCAUCAAAAUUUUAAAAAAUGUAUUUUCGAUACCCUU